UUAGAGAUUCCUUUGAAGCGCUUUGUACUGAAUACUGCCAGAGAAAAGGUUUUGGACCAAAUGAAUCCGGACCGGCCUAUGCAGCUUCAGUGGCUACCACCACCUGAAGGUGCUGUCCCCACUGUCUUUCAAUCCACCUUGGACCUGAAUCCACUGAUUCCGGUUCACUUUGGUUGCAGUGAUCUGAACAGAGGAUGAAACUAAACAUAACAGCCAUGCAAAAUAUGCCACAUAGGUUGUGCAACCAUGCAAUACUACCGUCAAUCAGCAGGAGGAAUAAAAUAAGCUCUGCAAA
Molecule: non-coding RNA, 295 nt
Organism: Coturnix japonica (Japanese quail)
Lineage: Eukaryota; Metazoa; Chordata; Aves; Galliformes; Phasianidae
Source: RefSeq, a predicted model, not a curated record